Molecule: unclassified non-coding RNA, 353 nt
Filed under: soil metagenome
Description: partial contains 5.8S ribosomal RNA, internal transcribed spacer 2, and large subunit ribosomal RNA
Rfam family: 5.8S ribosomal RNA (bases 1-120)
Source: RNAcentral
GAUGAAGAACGCAGCGAAAUGCGAUAAGUAAUGUGAAUUGCAGAAUUCAGUGAAUCAUCGAAUCUUUGAACGCACAUUGCGCCCGCCAGUAUUCUGGCGGGCAGGCCUGUUCGAGCGUCAUUACAACCCUCAGGCCCCCGGGCCUGGCGUUGGGGAUCGGCGGAAGCCCCCUGCGGGCACAACGCCGUCCCCCAAAUACAGUGGCGGUCCCGCCGCAGCUUCCAUUGCGUAGUAGCUAACACCUCGCAACUGGAGAGCGGCGCGGCCACGCCGUAAAACACCCAACUUCUGAAUGUUGACCUCGAAUCAGGUAGGAAUACCCGCUGAACUUAAGCAUAUCAAUAAGCGGAGGA